ACUUUCACAUACAGAUAUUUCAUUUCAUACUUUCUCCUGGCAAACAAAUAACUAUUAUUAUAAUUUUAAGGAACUGUUCAAAAGCCAAUGAGCUCCUUUCCUCUCCCAAUUUCCUUUGCUCUUAGAGCUUGCCUAUUAACUUUCUUGCAAAAUGAGACAUCCGGCCGUUAUUUGUUUCACAACAGUGAAAACUCUCCUGUAGCCAUACCUUUCAGAAACACGUCUUCUAAAACCCUCAUGUAGUGUUUGGAUUACUUCACGUGUUAUGGCUUUAUUCAACACCUGUUAUCCAUCAGGUCUCCACAUUCUCACGUGGAAUGAAGUUUUCAAAAGCACAUGCAGACAACCUUGUAGGAAAAAGGAAGAACAGAAGGCAACAAUACCCCAUUGUCAGUCUUGAAAACAAAUACUACAGAAUGCAUAAAGUACACUUAAGUCACUUCUGCUGUGUGAUGGAACAUGAGUGGCAACUAGUUACCCAAUAUUUGUGGAGGGCUGCAUGAAGUCUCUAUGAAAUCAUGGAGAACUCUUCCAGUGGGCUUUCUGUUGUGAAUGGCAGGAAGAAAAUGAUCUGCUUAACCAAGUAAACAUCUGAUUACAGAACUCUCCCUCAGAAACUUAAAGAAACUAAGCUUAUAUUAAGAAUAUAAUUAUUGGUACUCAAGGGCUUUGUCACUGUGGAAAAGAAAGAAUUGUUUCUGGGAUUAAGACUGGUGCCAUUUGACUUCCAGUUCCAGUUUGCGGCGACUCCGGUCGUGUGAAGAGACUCAUCUCUCCCCCGGCUGUUUUCUUCGCCAGUAGACCCCCUGCUGGGUCGAAAGUCGCUCUGGAGGGGCGACUACUGAGGAGUAAGCUUGCUGGUGACUGCGGGAGGGCGGCAGCUUCUUCUGCGGCUCCACCUAACUCCUUAGGGCCAACGGAGCAAAGAUCGUCCUGCAAGAUGGCCGAUUCCUUAGCUGCACCAGCCAAAAGUCACAGGUACAUCUAAGCAUGAAAGACCCACUGCGGAUGAUCCGGGUGAGAACUCUCCUUCUCCUCUUUUCACCCUAUUCUAUUUUUUACCUGUAAAAGCUUUCUUGGAAUUAAUUCCCUGCCUUGAAAGAGUGGCAUUUAUAUGCGUGGGAAGAAAGGCGUUUCAACAAAAGGACAGAUCAAGUAACUUUAAUGACUAUAUUUUAUUUUCAUUUACUUUGGGGUACAGAAAAAAAGAAAAAAAUUUAGAGCUUCACUAUCACCUUAUACUGGAAGAAUAUCUCUUUCUCCACCUUUUCUUUUAAAAGAGAGAGAAAAGGGAAAAAAUGGUGUCUGAGAAAGAUUUUGUAACCCACUGAGGACAUCUUUGACAAAAAGUUAAUAUUGCAAUUGUCUGUUUUUC
Crotalus tigris (Tiger rattlesnake) is the source of this 1375-nucleotide long non-coding RNA. RefSeq lists it as uncharacterized. The transcript is spliced from 4 exons. The record is from RefSeq and is a predicted model, not a curated record. Lineage: Eukaryota; Metazoa; Chordata; Lepidosauria; Squamata; Viperidae.